Acipenser ruthenus (sterlet) is the source of this 757-nucleotide long non-coding RNA. RefSeq lists it as uncharacterized. Lineage: Eukaryota; Metazoa; Chordata; Actinopteri; Acipenseriformes; Acipenseridae. The record is from RefSeq and is a predicted model, not a curated record. The transcript is spliced from 4 exons.
CAACGCAGUGGAGGACUGCACAGUCCCAUAGGCCUCCCUCUCUCCCAACCUUGGCUUUAUUUUGGUGUGUAUUUCACACCUGGCUGAUAGCGAAAGACAAACUAAGGGGCUGUUUACUUCCCCUGGGGAAAACGAAUUUUGGGAUGGGAAAGUAAAGAGUCACUCUGGAGCUGUCAACAGAUCACAGAAGCUGGUCAACAGCACCAGCACCAAACCUGCAGAACGGGACGCCACAGCCUGAAAACACAGCAUACAUCUACUGAGAAGGGCUCACUACAUGCAGUCAGUACCUGAUACCAGAUUGUCGAGAUACUGUAUUUUUAGAACAAAGUCCUUUUGAAGAGUCAUUUGGAGGAAGGUAGAGCACACAUGUACCCCAGCACAGCCCCGGGAAUAUCCCACUACAUCCCACUCUCCACACCCAACAAUGAAGUAAUACAGAAUGUGUCUAUUGUGGCAAACAGACACACACAGGGAAAUCCAUUCAACCGCACAGAGGACUUGCAGUCGUCAGUUUUUCCAAGUCAAUACAAAGACCAGUCCCAGAGAGCCUACAGCUAGAGGGGUACCGCAUGGUGAAUCCACCUGUAGCUUUCCAGAGAGGACACUUGCUGUAGCAGAGGCAGACCGUGAAAACCACUCCAUGGAACAGCCAGUGCAAGACAAAUACCCUGCCUGAAGAAGAAUACCUAGAUUCAACUCUGAAGAGGAUCUGAUCCAACCCCAAAACAGCACACAACGGCAACCACGUUUGUCU